AGAGCGCAGGGAGGAUGCCUUGGCAUCAGGAGCCGAUGAAGGACGCGGUAAGCUGCGAAAAGCUCCGGGGAGUGGCAAGCACACAUUGAUCCGGAGAUGUCCGAAUGGAGCAAUCCACAUGAGUGAAGCUCAUGUAUCAUAUACUGAAUAAAUAGGUAUAUGAGGGGAACCGUCUGAACUGAAACAUCUAAGUAGGACGAGGAAAAGAAAUCAACCGAGAUUCCGCUAGUAGUGGCGAGCGAACGCGGAAGAGGCUAAACCAGAGUCAGCAAUGACUUUGGGGUUAGGACUGCAUUUAGUAUCAAUGAGGUCUAGUCGAAGUACAUGGGAAGGUACAUCGAAGAGGGUGAGAAUCCCGUAGACGAAAGAUCAAGUUGGCGAGCAGUAUCCAGAGUACCGCCGGACACGUGAAACCCGGUGGGAACAUGGGGGGACCAUCCUCCAAGCCUAAAUACUACCUGAUGACCGAUAGCGCAUAGUACUGUGAAGGAAAGGUGAAAAGAACCCCGGGAGGGGAGUGAAAGAGAGCCUGAAACCCUGUGCUUACAAGCACACAGAGCACGUCAAAGUGUGAUGUGGUACCUAUUGUAGAAUGGUCCGGCGAGUUAUUUUAUGCAGCGAGGUUAAGGACUUAAGGUCUGUAGCCGAAGUGAAAGCGAGUGUUAAUAGCACGAAACAGUUGCAUGCAAUAGACCCGAAACCGGGUGACCUAUCCAUGUCCAGGCUGAAGUGAGGGUAAAACCUCAUGGAGGGCCGAACCGACUCCCGUUGAAAUGGUAGCGGAUGAGGUGUGGAUAGCGGAGAAAUUCCAAUCGAACCCGGAUAUAGCUGGUUCUCCCCGAAACCGUUUUAGGACGGGCCUCGUGUGAAGAUUAUCGGAGGUAAAGCACUGAAUAGCCUAGGGGGCGAGAGCCUACCGAAGCUUAUCAAACUCUGAAUGCCGAAUAAUCGUUUCACGGGAGUCAGACUGUGUGAGAUAAGUUUCAUAGUCAAAAGGGAAACAGCCCAGACCCACAGCUAAGGUCCCAAAGUGUAUUUAAGUGGAAAACGAUGUGAAGUUGCGUAGACAACCAGGAUGUUGGCUUAGAAGCAGCCACUCAUUAAAAGAGUGCGUAAUAGCUCACUGGUCGAGUGACUUUGCGCGGAAAAUUUAACGGGGCUAAAAUACACACCGAAGCUUGGGCUUGACGCAUAGCGUCAGGGGUAGGGGAGCGUCGUGUAAGGGGCGAAGUCGUAUCGUAAGGGACGGUGGACUUUACACGAGUGAGAAUGCCGGAAUGAGUAGCGAGAAUUAUGUGAGAAUCAUAAUGGUCGAAAGCCUAAGGUUUUUGGAGGAAGGUUCGUCCGCUCCAAGUAAGCCGGGAGCUAAGGUCAGGCGGAAACGCGUAGCCGAUGCACAUACGGUUGAAAUUCCGUAGCCUCAGAAAGAUUUAAGCGAAGGGACACUUUGAAAGGACUGUUGCCGGGUGUUGGUUACCCCGGUCGUAAGGGAACGAAAUUAAGUAGUGAAGGCAGUCUGGACGGAGGCGAGAAAAGCUUCGUGUAUAUCUUAUGAGCCCGUACCGCAAACCGACACAGGUAGGUGGGAUGAGAAUUCUAAGACCAACGGGAGAAGGGUAGUUAAGGAACUCGGCAAAUUGUCCCCGUAACUUCGGAAUAAGGGGAGCCUGCGAAAGCAGGCCGCAGAGAAUUGGCCCAGGCGACUGUUUAUCAAAAACACAGCUCUAUGCUAAAUCGAAAGAUGACGUAUAUGGGGUGACACCUGCCCGGUGCUGGAAGGUUAAGAGGAGAUGUGAGAGCAUCGAAUUGAAGCCCCAGUAAACGGCGGCCGUAACUAUAACGGUCCUAAGGUAGCGAAAUUCCUUGUCAGGUAAGUUCUGACCCGCACGAAUGGUGUAACGAUCUGGGCACUGUCUCGACUACCCGCCCGGCGAAAUUGUAGUACCGGUGAAGAUGCCGGUUACCCGCGACUAGACGGAAAGACCCCAUGGAGCUUUACUGUAGCUUAAUAUU
This 2013-nucleotide ribosomal RNA is filed under the name human gut metagenome. RNAcentral describes it as "bacterial LSU rRNA". It matches the Rfam family "Bacterial large subunit ribosomal RNA", at positions 14 to 2118 of the family's 2925-position model. The record is from RNAcentral.